Small nucleolar RNA from Mugil cephalus (flathead mullet), 150 nucleotides. NCBI's taxonomy places the organism in Eukaryota, Metazoa, Chordata, Actinopteri, Mugiliformes, Mugilidae. The record is from RefSeq and is a predicted model, not a curated record.
CUUCAGUGAAGAAACGAUGACGAGUCGGAACAGGUCUCAGUCUGGUUCUGCUGGUUCCUGGUCCAGGUCCACGUUCUGUGGUCCUGCUCCGGGUCCUCAGAGCCACGAGUCCCUUUUGGUUGAAGACAUCGAGGCAUUUGUCUGAGAAGG